This 509-nucleotide ribosomal RNA is filed under the name bacterium W10(2005). Its description in RNAcentral is "bacterial SSU rRNA". It matches the Rfam family "Bacterial small subunit ribosomal RNA", at positions 92 to 588 of the family's 1533-position model. The record is from RNAcentral.
UUAGCGGCGGACGGGUGAGUAACACGUGGGUAACCUGCCCAUAAGACUGGGAUAACUCCGGGAAACCGGGGCUAAUACCGGAUAACAUUUUGAACCGCAUGGUUCGAAAUUGAAAGGCGGCUUCGGCUGUCACUUAUGGAUGGACCCGCGUCGCAUUAGCUAGUUGGUGAGGUAACGGCUCACCAAGGCAACGAUGCGUAGCCGACCUGAGAGGGUGAUCGGCCACACUGGGACUGAGACACGGCCCAGACUCCUACGGGAGGCAGCAGUAGGGAAUCUUCCGCAAUGGACGAAAGUCUGACGGAGCAACGCCGCGUGAGUGAUGAAGGCUUUCGGGUCGUAAAACUCUGUUGUUAGGGAAGAACAAGUGCUAGUUGAAUAAGCUGGCACCUUGACGGUACCUAACCAGAAAGCCACGGCUAACUACGUGCCAGCAGCCGCGGUAAUACGUAGGUGGCAAGCGUUCCCGGAAUUAUUGGCCGUAAAGCGCGCGCAGCCGUUUCUUAAGU